UACGUAGGGUGCAAGCGUUGUCCGGAAUUAUUGGGCGUAAAGAGCUCGUAGGCGGUCUGUCGCGUCUACUGUGAAAACUCAGGGCUUAACCCUGAGCUUGCAGUGGGUACGGGCAGACUAGAGUGCGGUAGGGGAGACUGGAAUUCCUGGUGUAGCGGUGAAAUGCGCAGAUAUCAGGAGGAACACCGGUGGCGAAGGCGGGUCUCUGGGCCGUAACUGACGCUGAGGAGCGAAGGCAUGGGGAGCGAACAGG
RNAcentral lists this ribosomal RNA (253 nucleotides) under uncultured bacterium. Its description in RNAcentral is "partial 16S ribosomal RNA". It matches the Rfam family "Bacterial small subunit ribosomal RNA", at positions 524 to 776 of the family's 1533-position model. The record is from RNAcentral.